UGACCGCGUAUGAAAGACGUUUCACCUCGGGUGACAGGGAGACAGGUGGUGCAUGGUUGUCGUCAGCUCGUGUCGUGAGAUGUUCGGGUUAAGUCCCGCAAACGAGCGCAACCCCUACGUUUAGUUGCUAACGCGUGAAGGCGGGCACUCUAGACGAACUGCCGUUGACAAAACGGAGGAAGUGGGGAUGACGUCAAAUCAUCAUGCCCCUUAUGUUCUGGGCUACACACGUGCUACAAUGGCCGGUACAGACGGACGCAAAGCCGCGAGGUGGAGCAAAUCCUAAAAAGCCGGUCUCAAUUCGGAUUGCAGGCUGCAAUUCGCCUGCAUGAAGUCGGAAUCGCUAGUAAUCGCAGGUCAGCAUACUGCGGUGAAUACGUUCCCGGGCCUU
RNAcentral lists this ribosomal RNA (391 nucleotides) under uncultured Pelotomaculum sp. RNAcentral's name for it is "bacterial SSU rRNA". It matches the Rfam family "Bacterial small subunit ribosomal RNA", at positions 992 to 1382 of the family's 1533-position model. The record is from RNAcentral. Lineage: Bacteria; Bacillati; Bacillota; Clostridia; Eubacteriales; Desulfotomaculaceae.